RNAcentral lists this ribosomal RNA (252 nucleotides) under uncultured bacterium. RNAcentral describes it as "partial 16S ribosomal RNA". It matches the Rfam family "Bacterial small subunit ribosomal RNA", at positions 335 to 603 of the family's 1533-position model. The record is from RNAcentral.
ACUCCUACGGGAGGCAGCAGUGGGGAAUCUUAGACAAUGGGGGAAACCCUGAUCUAGCCAUGCCGCGUGAGUGACGAAGGCCCUAGGGUCGUAAAGCUCUUUCGCUGGGGAAGAUAAUGACUGUACCCAGUAAAGAAACCCCGCGUAACAUCCGUGCCAAGCAGCCGCGGUAAUACGGAGGGGUUAGCGUUGUUCGGAAUUACUGGGCGUAAAGCGCGCGUAGGCGGACUAUUAAGUCAGAGGUGAAAUCCC